UAUAUUUUAUGUUCAAACUGUUGGGUUACAAGUGUGAGGUGAAGUCCCACAUCGGGUAGAAGUGGAAAGGUUGAACACCAUAUAAGUGAGGAGAAGACCCAUAAACCUGAGCCUUAAGGUUUUGGGUUAGAGUGUGGUGUCAGGCUUCCUUAUGUGGUGGCUCGUGGUCCACAGGUGUACCCCUCGAAUCUCCCCAACAAUUGGUAUCAGAGCCGAUGGUUCAAGUUAGUGACCGGCUUAGAUGAGUAUGCAAGUACCGCAGGUGGCCAGAAUGGCUAGCGGCACAGCGCGCCCCACAGGUGAAGCGGGGUAGCCAGAAUGGCUAGCGGGCAGGGCAAGUACCGCAGGUGGCCAUGGCUAUACUCGUGGAUGAUAAAGACUUCCGCUCGAGGGGGAGACUACCAUGUGGAAGAGACUCACACUUGAGGGGGAGAUGUGUUGGGUUACAAGUGUGAGGUGAAGUCCCACAUCGGGUAGAAGUGGAAAGGUUGAACACCAUAUAAGUGAGGAGAAGACCCAUAAACCUGAGCCUUAAGGUUUUGGGUUAGAGUGUGGUGUCAGGCUUCCUUAUGUGGUGGCUCGUGGUCCACAGGUGUACCCCUCGAAUCUCCCCAACAAUUGGUAUCAGAGCCGAUGGUUCAAGUUAGUGACCGGCUUAGAUGAGUAUGCAAGUACCGCAGGUGGCCAGAAUGGCUAGCGGCACAGCGCGCCCCACAGGUGAAGCGGGGUAGCCAGAAUGGCUAGCGGGCAGGGCAAGUACCGCAGGUGGCCAUGGCUAUACUCGUGGAUGAUAAAGACUUCCGCUCGAGGGGGAGACUACCAUGUGGAAGAGACUCACACUUGAGGGGGAGAUGUGUUGGGUUACAAGUGUGAGGUGAAGUCCCACAUCGGGUAGAAGUGGAAAGGUUGAACACCAUAUAAGUGAGGAGAAGACCCAUAAACCUGAGCCUUAAGGUUUUGGGUUAGAGUGUGGUGUCAGGCUUCCUUAUGUGGUGGCUCGUGGUCCACAGGUGUACCCCUCGAAUCUCCCCAACACAAACAACUUGAAAUUACACAGGUGAGGUGAACAGUUAUGUACUGAAGUUGGAACAAGGUAAUAUGCUAAUUCAAAAGCAAAUAUGACCAGACCCUGCUAAAUAUAAAGAAAGAGUUGUCUAAAUUAUAUCUUGCAAUUCAACAAUGGCUAAUAGAUUUCAUGCUUGUGAACGUUCAAUUUACCUGAAAGACAAGAGGCAGAAAGUAAAAGCUUCCGUGACAGGUUCAAAACUAAAGGAAGAAUAUUAAAUAGGUAGAACAAAUAUUAAAAAU
Molecule: long non-coding RNA, 1308 nt
Filed under: Glycine max (soybean)
Lineage: Eukaryota; Viridiplantae; Streptophyta; Magnoliopsida; Fabales; Fabaceae
Description: long non-coding RNA (GMAX_LNC002936)
Source: RNAcentral